UUACAUGAAAAAAGGAAUUGUAUAUAAACUAUUAUUUUUAUACUCUUGCCCAUGUUUACCUUUUCUUAUAUCUUUAUUCACAAACAUUUAUUGAUAAGCUACGAUAAGCUAGGAACUGUGCUAGCUGUUAGAGAUAAACAGUGAAAGUCUCUGACUUUAAAAGUUCACAGUCCUGGAGAGAAGACAAACAGAAACAGAUAAUUACAGUUUAGUGUGAAAAGAUAUAUAACUGGAUGUACAAAGCAUUUUGGAAGCACUAAGGGAAAAGAUGUUGGGAAAUUUGGGGUACACUUGGGUGAGCUAAAUGCUAUGAAAGUGUUAUAAGCCAAAGUUCUGUGGGAGCUUGGUUGAAGACAUAACUGAAUUUAUUUCAUCUCUACUCCUGUGCAUUUCCUUCCCUCUUAUAUUGUUUUGAAGCAAAUUCUGCACGUCAUCUCAUUCAUAAGUAUUUCAGUAUAUAGUUCUGAAAGAUAACGAUUUAAAAAAAAUAAACAGUAAUAUCAUUAUCACAUCUUUAAAAAAUAAUGUGGGGUGAACUUAAUUUGAAGGGGGAAUGAAAUGUUCAGUGGGUAGCCGAGGAGGGAGGAAUGGCAGAGAGGAGAGCAUGUUUAUUUGGAGGGAGCUGGGAAAGAUCUGUGAGUGUUCAGAGACUUCUUCUUUGGGGUGCAAAUAAUGUCUCUGAUGAUGUGAAUGGAGAAAAUGAUGAGAAGUGAGUGGCAAAAUAGGGAAAGGUACAGUCAUAAAGGCUCUUGAAUAUACUAAGAGGCCUGCUCUGCCUUUUUGAUAUGGGGAGUUUAGAGGGUUGUAAGCAGAUUAAUAGUAACGUGCUUAGAUUUACAGUUCAGAAAAGUAACCUUAACGGCACUGUCGAGAGCAGAUGAGGUAAGAGUAAAAUCAGAAACCAAAAAGAUACACUAUGGGAGGAGGUUGUAGUAGUCCAGCUGAGGAACAAAUGAUGAUGGUUUGAAAUAAGGUUCUAUCAGUAGAGUUUGACGGAAGCUGCUUCAUGACAUACUUAGAAAGUAGGAUUUGGAUUAAAUUUAGGGUUGAGGAAGAGGGAGGGUUUGAAGCUUCCUCUUAGGCUUCUGGCUUGUGCAGCUGGGCAGACAGUAAAACCAUCACUAGGGGCGGAGCACAUUAGACAAGCUGAGGGUCUAUAUACAUGGUUGCUGCCUGCCGCUGUCCACUGUACAGCCGCCAUGCCAGCAGCACCCUGUGGAUGCAGUGUGUGGUGGCCCUGGCCCUCUAGUUUAGGUGUUUUGACCAGUUGAUCUGAUGUUAGCUCCUAAUUAAGCACAACUUUUGUCAUAGUGUAGACAUCCAAUAAAAAGUUGUUCGGGGAAUGAAUGAUAAAUAAAUCCAAAUCUCUGUAUGUUUAAUACAUAAACUCUGAGGAUUAGUACAAUCUAAUGACUUGUUUAUUGAUUCUAGGGGCUGUUAGUACAGGAGACAUGGUAAAAUAUUUGUUUAUUCCUUUGUUCUGUGGGCUGAUUGUUGCGUGUGUAUGUAUCUUACCAUUUUUUUAAAUAUAUGCGCUCUAUCAGUUUUUGUCCUUAAACCAUUUGAUAAACCACAAUAAAAUUUUAGAAUUAAAAAAAUACAUAUCCACAUGGGAAUAUUUCGGAAAUGUGAGAAAAGUCUUAUUUAUUGAACUAAGACUAUUUUAGAGAAGAUGUCUAGCUUGUUCUGGUAAAAUUCAAAAAGGUUUGUGUUAACCCAUCUAAAAUUAUUGUCUUUACUGUAGGCAUUCUGAAAUUUAUUUAGAAAUCAACACUAAAAUUAGUGAAUUAAGCUCUCAGUUUAACGUCCAGUCAGGAUGUCAGAUUUACACUAAGAAUAAAGUGCUCAAAUAAGGUAAAGAUGUUGUAGUCCUUCCCUCUACCCACGACAAAAAAGAUUGUGUUAGAAAGUCUACAUCUUGUAAGUCUUAGAAGCAGAUGGAGCUUCAGAUUGGCCUUGUGUUUCAUAUUUACUGUUUAUCUGCUUGAGACUUAGAUAAAAAUUAUCUGAUAGCUUGCCCUUGGAACAGAUCUCUGAUUACUUGGUGGGAUAAUGGAGUUGGUCAGUGGAGAGAGAGGAGGAGAGAGGGAGAGAGAGAACAUGGCUGUCCUUUCAUAGGGAUCCUAGAGAAGCAACAUGGUGUAUGGAAAUAGCACCUGUAGCUUAGAGUCAGCCAGCCUUCAACUUGGCUGCCAUUCCUGCUGCUCAGCAAGUUACUGACUUCACUUUGGCCUUAGUUUUCCUUAUUUGUGAAAAGGCAGUAAUACUACCUGACCUACAGAGUGGUUGUGAGAAUUAGAGGUCAUGCGCACCAGGCAUCCAGCACACAAAGCAUGCCUAUCAGUAACUACUGGCCAUUGGUGUUAUCCACACAGAGUAUCCUCUGUGGGUGGCAUCCAUUGGGGUAGCAAGACUAACUCUGGACUGGCUUCAUUCAAGACCUUCCUGUUGUCCCAUCAGGGGAUUUGGGGGUAAAGGCAGGCAGAGGGUGGGAUUGUAAGUCAUUACUUUCCCCCCUGAAUUUGUUAAGAAGUCAAUUCUUGCUUAACUAGUUCUUAAUUAACUAGGGGUCUUAGACCAAUUCAGUGCAUUUUGGCAAAUAUUUUUCAUUAAUUAUAUCUCUGACACAAUGCUGGAGAUCACUGUAACUUAGGAUAGGCACUUGAAUGUCUCUGAUGCAUUAAUUCCCUGUCUACAGAAUGAGACUAAUGUCAUUAAGCCUUUGAACCCCUCUAAGAAAGUUUCAAGAAUUAAAGGAGAUCAGAUUAUAACCAAUACUUUCAAAUCUUUUAUAGGCUAUAUAAUAAAAUUAAGAUGAAAAUUUAACCUCAGAAGGAGGGUUCUUGAGGAGGAAGGUAAGAGAGGGAGGUCUAAAAGUGAACUUUUGCACUUCCCUGGUGGCGCAGUGGUUGUGAGUCUGCCUGCCGAUGCAGGGGACACGGGUUCGUGCCCUGGUCCAGGAAGAUCCCACGUGCCGCGGAGCAGAUAGGCCCGUGAGCCAUGGUCGCUGAGCCUGUGCUCUGCAACGGGAGAGGCCACAACAGUGAGAGGCCCGCGUACCACACA
Kogia breviceps (pygmy sperm whale) is the source of this 3066-nucleotide non-coding RNA. The record is from RefSeq and is a predicted model, not a curated record. NCBI's taxonomy places the organism in Eukaryota, Metazoa, Chordata, Mammalia, Artiodactyla, Physeteridae.